AGAGUUUGAUCCUGGCUCAGAUUGAACGCUGGCGGCAGGCCUAACACAUGCAAGUCGAACGGUAGCACAGAGAGCUUGCUCUCGGGUGACGAGUGGCGGACGGGUGAGUAAUGUCUGGGAAACUGCCUGAUGGAGGGGGAUAACUACUGGAAACGGUAGCUAAUACCGCAUAAUGUCGCAAGACCAAAGAGGGGGACCUUCGGGCCUCUUGCCAUCGGAUGUGCCCAGAUGGGAUUAGCUUGUUGGUGAGGUAACGGCUCACCAAGGCGACGAUCCCUAGCUGGUCUGAGAGGAUGACCAGCCACACUGGAACUGAGACACGGUCCAGACUCCUACGGGAGGCAGCAGUGGGGAAUAUUGCACAAUGGGCGCAAGCCUGAUGCAGCCAUGCCGCGUGUAUGAAGAAGGCCUUCGGGUUGUAAAGUACUUUCAGCGAGGAGGAAGGCGGUAAGGUUAAUAACCUUAUCGAUUGACGUUACUCGCAGAAGAAGCACCGGCUAACUCCGUGCCAGCAGCCGCGGUAAUACGGAGGGUGCAAGCGUUAAUCGGAAUUACUGGGCGUAAAGCGCACGCAGGCGGUCUGUCAAGUCGGAUGUGAAAUCCCCGGGCUCAACCUGGGAACUGCAUUCGAAACUGGCAGGCUAGAGUCUUGUAGAGGGGGGGUAGAUUUCCAGGUGUAGCGGUGAAAUGCCGUAUAGAUCUAGAUGAAUACCUGGUGGGCGAACGCAGGCCCUCCUGGACAAAGACUGACGCUCAGUGCGAAAGCGUGGCGUAGCCAAACAGGAUUAGAUGACCCUGAUAGUUCCACGCCGUAAACGAUGUCGAACCUUGUACGUCGUGCCCUUGAAUGCGUGACUUCAGAGCUAUCGCUGUAGUUCGACUGCCUGAGCGAUACGACUGCAAGCUUGAACUCAUAUGCAAUUGAACCGGAGGCCC
RNAcentral lists this ribosomal RNA (936 nucleotides) under uncultured bacterium. Its description in RNAcentral is "bacterial SSU rRNA". It matches the Rfam family "Bacterial small subunit ribosomal RNA", at positions 8 to 922 of the family's 1533-position model. The record is from RNAcentral.